GACGAACGCUGGCGGCGUGCUUAACACAUGCAAGUCGAACGGAAAGGCCCUGCUUUUGUGGGGUGCUCGAGUGGCGAACGGGUGAGUAACACGUGAGUAACCUGCCCUUGACUUUGGGAUAACUUCAGGAAACUGGGGCUAAUACCGGAUAGGAGCUCCUGCUGCAUGGUGGGGGUUGGAAAGUUUCGGCGGUUGGGGGUGGACUCGCGGCUUAUCAGCUUGUUGGUGGGGUAGUGGCUUACCAAGGCUUUGACGGGUAGCCGGCCUGAGAGGGUGACCGGCCACAUUGGGACUGAGAUACGGCCCAGACUCCUACGGGAGGCAGCAGUGGGGAAUAUUGCACAAUGGGCGGAAGCCUGAUGCAGCAACGCCGCGUGCGGGAUGACGGCCUUCGGGUUGUAAACCGCUUUCGCCUGUGACGAAGCGUGAGUGAUGGUAAUGGGUAAAGAAGCACCGGCUAACUACGUG
This 468-nucleotide ribosomal RNA is filed under the name uncultured bacterium. RNAcentral describes it as "partial 16S ribosomal RNA". It matches the Rfam family "Bacterial small subunit ribosomal RNA", at positions 28 to 507 of the family's 1533-position model. The record is from RNAcentral.